RNAcentral lists this unclassified non-coding RNA (512 nucleotides) under Hevea brasiliensis (rubber tree). The record is from RNAcentral. Lineage: Eukaryota; Viridiplantae; Streptophyta; Magnoliopsida; Malpighiales; Euphorbiaceae.
UUCUUUUGGAUCUCAAGCCCAAAAUCCAAUAAAUCUCCUCUUCUCAGCAGCCUUGCACUUUUCUCUUCCACUCCAUAUUCGCGCCAUCGUUCGGACAAGCCUUAAGCCAUUCCGAUCCCGAUCUCGAUUUCCCAUUUUUACCGGUAACCAAAUUUCGUUCAUACUUCUUAUAUGCUUGUGGAUUAAGAUUUUCGCUUCUUGUGUUUUUGAUUGAGGCUUCUACGAUCUAACUUCAGCUGGAAUGCUUGUGUGAAUUGCUGUUUUAUUUUUUUCUUGUCGACUGGAAUUCAAUAUGAUAUUAUUGCUGGCUAUUGGAUUUUUAAGGGGUUUUGGAUGCGAUUCAAUCCAUGGUCCACUCUAAUUUAUUUAUUCACAACUCUUGGUCAUAUUUAACUCGUUUAAUUUCUCUAUUCUAGAUUAGGGUUGAGUAACUCAACGUCUCAAGCGAUUUGGUUGGGCUUGUCUGAUAAGUGCGCGGGAAUAACUUGCCUCAGCUUUUUUUUUUUUUGAUA